UACGAAGGGUGCAAGCGUUACUCGGAAUUACUGGGCGUAAAGCGUGCGUAGGUGGUUCGUUAAGUCUGAUGUGAAAGCCCUGGGCUCAACCUGGGAAUGGCAUUGGAUACUGGCGGACUGGAGUGCGGUAGAGGAUGGCGGAAUUCCCGGUGUAGCGGUGAAAUGCGCAGAUAUCGGGAGGAACACCAAUGGCGAAGGCAGCUCGCUGGGACGGUACUGACGCUGAGGCGCGAAAGCGUGGGGAGCAAACAGG
This 253-nucleotide ribosomal RNA is filed under the name uncultured bacterium. RNAcentral's name for it is "partial 16S ribosomal RNA". It matches the Rfam family "Bacterial small subunit ribosomal RNA", at positions 524 to 776 of the family's 1533-position model. The record is from RNAcentral.